UACAGAGGUCUCAAGCGUUGUUCGGAUUCAUUGGGCGUAAAGGGUGUGUAGGUGGCGCCGUAAGUCGGGUGUGAAAUUUCGGAGCUUAACUCCGAAACUGCAUUCGAUACUGCGGUGCUUGAGGACUGGAGAGGAGACUGGAAUUCAUGGUGUAGCAGUGAAAUGCGUAGAUAUCAGGAGGAACACCGGUGGCGAAGGCGGAUCUCUGGGCCAUUACUGACGCUGAGGAGCGAAAGCGUGGGGAGCGAACAGG
RNAcentral lists this ribosomal RNA (253 nucleotides) under uncultured bacterium. RNAcentral describes it as "partial 16S ribosomal RNA". It matches the Rfam family "Bacterial small subunit ribosomal RNA", at positions 524 to 776 of the family's 1533-position model. The record is from RNAcentral.